Molecule: RNA transcript, 1747 nt
Organism: Elephantulus edwardii (Cape elephant shrew)
Lineage: Eukaryota; Metazoa; Chordata; Mammalia; Macroscelidea; Macroscelididae
Gene name: adaptor-related protein complex 2, mu 1 subunit pseudogene
Exons: 1
Source: RefSeq, a predicted model, not a curated record
GCCAUGAUUGGAGGGUUGUUCAUCUAUAAUCACAAAGGGGAGGCGCUCCUCUCCCGGGUGUACCGAGAUGACAUUGGGAGGAAUGCAGUGGGUGCCUUUCGGGUCAAUGUUAUCCAUGCUCAGCAGCAGGUGCGCAGCCCCGUCACCAGCAUCGCUCGUACCAGUUUCUUCCAUGUUAAGCGGUCUAACAUCUGGCUGGCAGCUGUCACCAAGCAGAAUGUCAAUGCCGCCAUGGUCUUCUAAUUCCUCUAUAAGAUGUGUGAUGUAAUGGCUGCUUACUUUGGCAAGAUCAGUGAAGAGAACAUCAAGAACAAUUUUGUGCUCAUAUACGAGCUGCUGGAUGAGAUCCUGGACUUUGGCUGUCCACAGAACUCUGAGACUGGGGCGCUGAAAUCCUUCAUCACUCAGCAGGGCAUCAAGAGCCAGCAUCAGACGAAGGAAGAGCAGUCCCAGAUCGCCAGGUGACGGGGCACAUUGGCUGGCGUCGGGAAGGCAGCAAGGAUCGCCGAAACGAGCUCUUCCUGGACGUGCUGGAGAGUGUCAGCCUGCUCAUGUCUCCGCAAGGGCAGGUGCUGAGUGCCCACGUGUCUGGCCGGGUGGUGGUGAAGAGCUACCUGAGUGGCACGCCCAAGUGCAAGUUUGGCAUGAAUGACAAGAUUGUCGUCGAGAAGCAGGGCAAAGGCACAGCUGACGAAACCAGCAAGAGUGGGAAGCAAUCAAUUGCCAUCGAUGGUUGUACCUUCCACCAGUGUGUGCGACUCAGCAAGUUUGACUCUGAACGCAGCAUCAGCUUGAUCCCACCAGAUGGAGAGUUUGAGCUCAUGAGGUAUCGCACCACCAAGGACAUCAUCCUUCCUUUCCGAGUGAUCCCACUGGUGCGGGAAGUGGGGCGCACCAAGCUGGAGGUCAAGGUGGUCAUCAAGUCCAACUUCAAGCCCUCAUUACUUGCCCAAAAAAUUGAGGUGAGGAUUCCAACUCCACUGAAUACAAGCGGGGUGCAGGUGAUCUGCAUGAAAGGCAAGGCCAAGUACAAGGCCAGUGAGAAUGCCAUCGUGUGGAAGAUCAAGAGAAUGGCGGGCAUGAAGGAAUCACAGAUCAGCGCUGAGAUUGAGCUUCUGCCUACCAACGACAAGAAGAAAUGGGCACGACCCCCUAUUUCCAUGAACUUUGAGGUGCCAUUCGCACCUUCUGGCCUCAAGGUGCGCUUCUUGAAGGUGUUUGAACCGAAGCUGAACUACAGCGACCAUGAUGUCAUCAAAUGGGUGCGCUACAUUGGCCGCAGCGGCAUCUAUGAGACCCGCUGCUAGCUGCUCAGCGGCAGCUAGCCUGCCUCCCCACCCAGUCUCGUCCACAGGCCCAGGCCCCCAGCUACUGCACAUCAGUGUCUCCUCUCCUGCUUUGCUGCCUUCCCUUUGCACCAGCCCCUGCGUCUAGGUCUGGACCAACCCCACUGCAAGCGAGACUGGUGGGGCAGUCCCUGGGCUCCCCGGGCUGGGGGCUUUCUGGGGCUCCUGUUCCUCCAGCUGUUGGCCCUGGCCCAGUGCCAGGCUCUGUUCUGAGUUCUGUGACCAAAGCCAGGUGGGGCCCCUCUCCUCCCGACCCCUGUGGCCACAUCUCUCUGGAGUGAGAGGGUUGGCUGCCCCUCACCUCAAAGCUUCCCCGAAGGCCAGUAACAGAACCCCAGCCCUCAGUCCCUACUCUGCAUUGGGAUAAUGUGAGCUUCAUUUUGUACACGUGUGACUUUGUC